Long non-coding RNA from Sapajus apella (tufted capuchin), 239 nucleotides. RefSeq lists it as uncharacterized. The record is from RefSeq and is a predicted model, not a curated record. The transcript is spliced from 3 exons. Lineage: Eukaryota; Metazoa; Chordata; Mammalia; Primates; Cebidae.
CCAAAAUAAGCCUAACAUUUAGCCAACUUAUGAAUGCAAAAGAAAAGUUCUUGAAGGUAAUUAAAAGUGCUACUACAGUGAACAAAUGGAUGAUAAAGACUGUAAAACAUCCUUAUUGCUGAUAUGGAGAAUGUUUUAUUAGCCUGGAUAGAAAAUCAAACCAACUGGCCAGGCGCAGUGUCUCAUGCCUGUAAUCCCAGUACUUUGGGAGGCCGAGACGGGAGGAUCAUGAGGUCAGG